UGUUCUCCUUUCUCCUCCUCUCUAGAAAGGCACCGAGCCUACAAGAACCUCUCCCAAAUUCCUGCGCUCAGCCCCUCCUCUUUCUUCCCCGGUGACAGCCGAACAUGAGUUGGGCGAAGAUCCUUCCCCUUUUGUAUCUUUUGUUGUAGUUAGGGUGCCAAUAGAUCGGAUUUGGCUUCGAUCUUACCCUUGUGUCUCUUCUUCUAGAUCUGUUGUGCAAGCCAUCAGAGACGGAGAAGAAGAUGACAGCGGCAGUUGCUGCCAUGUCCAAGUUUGUUUUCUAAAGUUACUUCGUUUUCCCCUGUGUGGCUGUUGGGAUUGAUUCCUUUUUGUGCCUGACUCAGGUUCUCUUCCCAACCUCCAAUGUGAGCUUGUUUCCUCUUUGCUACCCAUGGAGGCUACCAGCAAUAGGACCACCUUGAGUAGGCCUGGGCGUUGUAGGCACGGAGAUUUGUGAAAUUGUGCUGGUGACCCGAAGAAGCAGAGAUGUGUGAUCUGUGCAGCUGUGUGUUUGGAACCAUGGCCUCUCCUGAACAUGUUUAGAAACGAAUUGGUUGCGAAACUGUGAAGUACCUUAUUAACUGUGAAGUAAUUUAGACUUGGGGAAAUUAUUGAGAUCCAUACCCUCUGGUUGUUACCAGAUUUUCUAUUUAAUAUUCUCUUUUUUUCAUUGUGAUCUGUGUCAGAUUUUUGUACUUGCAAGAUUUUGUGCAAGGAGAAUGGAGCGGCAUGAUCAAGCAUUGCUAAAUGUCAUCUUAUAAGUGGGUGAGUUCUCAAGCUCUACUCACGGAGAAGAAAGGUAAGCUUUUCCACUUUGUUGUAUUAAGUAAUGUACCAGUUCACUGUAUAUUAACCAUUGUGUAUCGAACGCAAUCUGAGUAAUCUUUUUUUUACAAAAAACACAUAUAUAUACACUUGUGUAGUUAUAUGAGAUUAAGGUAGCCAAAAGGGCUUGCAUUAUUUUCUUCGUCGCAACAUCACCCUUAUAUGAGAUUGGAAUUGAUGACUUAGUUCCAUUACCAUGAGGCUAUGGGAAUCCAAUUUCUUCCUUUUUUGGCAUAGGAGACCUGCCCUGUGGAUCUCCUUUUGUCUGACCUGCAUCUUUGCCCCUCUGUAUGACAAAGUAUUGUUUGGUCAUGGUCACAUCAGAUGCUACUCUUGAGAAGUUGAGGGAUAAUUUUGAGGUGUCUCAUGAAAUCUAACCAAAAUUUGCCUUCUCACAAGAAAAGGAGUGCAUCAAUUAUCUAAUUCUUAGCUUUUGGUCAUCAUGUAAAGUUUAGCUCACAAGCUGGAUUUGUCCCUAAACUAACGUACUUCCUUGUUUUUCUUAAGAUUCAACAACAUAAAGUCAUAUAGUCAAUAUGGAGCAUGAGCAGCUCUCGAUGAACGAAGAAAUCUCUACUCCUAUAAAAAUGUGAGUUGGUGAUGAUGGUGUGUCUGCCUUUGUGUCAUCUGCACCGUCCGAUCUGAAAUGUAACGCUAAGAUUUAGUCUGGAUGCCCCAAGUUCCCCAAAACAGAACACCAAUGGUUUGGAUGUUCUCCUUUCUCAUCCUGUCUAGAAAGGCACCGAGCCUACGAGAACCUCUCCCAAAUUCCUGCGCUCAGCCCCUCCUCUUUCUUCCCCGGUGACAGCCGAACUUGAGUUGGGCGAAGAUCCUUCCCCUUUUGUAUCUUAUGUUGUAGUUAGGGUGCCAAUAGAUCGGAUUUGGCUUCGAGCUUACCCCUGUGUCUCUUCUACAAGAUAUGUUGUGCAAGCCAUCAGAGACGGAGAAGAAGAUGACAACGGCGGUUGCUGCCAUGUCCAAGUUUGUUUUCUAAAGUUACUUCAUUUUCCCCUGUGUGGUCGUUGGGGUUGAUUCCUUUUUGUGCCUGACUCAGAUUCUCUUCUCAACCUCCAAUGUGAGCUUGUUUCUUUUAUGCUACCCAUGGAGGCUACCAGCAAUAGGACCACCUUGAGUAGGCCUGGACGUUGUAGGCAUGGAUGAUUUGUGCAAUUGUGCUGGUGGCGGGUUACUCGUUCCCGGCAGUACUGGUGCCAACUACCUCGAGCCACCAUUUUUGUUCACAACCAUGUUCGCCACUCUGUAAGUAUUGUGUUUCUCUGUCAGACCCGAAGAAGCAGAGAUGUGUGAUCCAUGCAGCUGUGUGUUUGGAACCAUGGCCUCUCCUAAACAUGUUUAGAAAUGAAUUGGUUGUGGAUCUGCGAAGUACCUUAUUAACUACGAAGUAAUUUAGACUUGGGGAAAUUAUUGAGAUCCAUCCCCUCGGGUUGUUACCAGAUUUUCUAUUUAAUAUUCAUUUUUUUUCAUUGUGAUCUGUGUCAGAUUUUUGUACUUGCAAGAUUUUGUGCAAGGAAAAUGGAGCGGCAUGAUCAAGCAUUGUCGAAUGUCAUCUUAUAAGUGGGUGAGUUCUCAAGCUCUACUCACUGAGAAGAAAGGUAAGCUUUUCCACUUUGUCGUAUUAAGUAAUGUAACAUACCGGUUCACUGUAUAUUAACCAUUGUGUAUCGAACGCAAUCUGAGUAAUCUUUUUUUUACAAAAAACACAUAUAUACACUUGUGUAGUUAUAUGAGAUUAAGGUAGCCAAAAGGGCUUGCAGUAUUUUCUUCGUCGCAACAUCACCCUUAUUUGAGAUUGGAAUUGAUGACUUAGUUUCCUUACCAUGAGGCUAUGGAAAUCCAAGUUCUUCCUUUUUGGCAUAGGAGACCUGCCUUGUGGAGCUCCUUUUGUCUGACCUGCAUCUUCGCCCCUCUGUAUGACAAAGUAUUGUUUGGUCGUGGUCACAUCAGAUGCUCCUCUUGAUAAGUUGAGGGAUAAUUUUGAGGUGUCUCAUGAAAUCUAAUCAAAAUUUGCCUUCUCACAAGAAAAGGAGUGCAUCAAUUAUCUAACUCUUAGCUUUUGGCCGUCAUGUAAAGUUUAGCUCACAAGCUGGAUUUGUCCCUAAACUAGCGUACUUCCUUGUCUUUCUUAAGAUUCAACAACAUAAAGUCAUAUAUUCAAUAUGGAGCAUGAGCAGCUCUCGGAAGAACGGUGAAAUAAACAAAAUAAGAAUAGAAAAAUCUGAACUUUUUACAACAAACAUAUUUGUCUUCUAAAAACGUACAUCUUUUUUGCGAAGAAACUAUUGAUUUGGUGAUUUUCAAAAAAGAGCAGUUCCCAUGUUAGUGUUUUAAGAGUACCAUUUUUUCAGAUCACAACAUGUUUUGUUUCUUUAUUACAAUUUACACAUUUAUAAUGCUUGAUAUGCUUGAGUGCUUGGUGGGGGAGCACAUGAGAAAGAAAGAGGUAGAGUGAUCUCACCAUACUGAUUUUUUUUCUCAGUGAGAUCUGAUUUGUUUUAAUACAGUAUGAUGUUGCAGUGCACGUGUACUAAUCUAGGAUCAAAACAUAGGAGAGAGGGGACGGUUCGAGGUGAAGGCACCAAACGUCAGAAAACAGGGGAGGCGGGAGGAGGGAGACUGGUGGAAUUUCUCACUAACUAUUUGAUAGUCAAGUACAAUCCAACAACAUCACCCCUCUAAAUGAAUUGUUGAAUAUUUUGUCAUAUGAUGUUUAUGCAGAUGUUGUUCCAUAACAAUGUAUAACUACUACACUAGAAUAUGUGUAGAAGCUCAGUUCUUGCAUGUGGCAGAUAUUUACAUUGUAUGAAUAAACUUCAGAUGAGAGCCAUUUAUGGUGCAUUCUGUAUUGCAAUGCCAAAUAUCCAUGCACA
Long non-coding RNA from Triticum aestivum (bread wheat), 3713 nucleotides. RefSeq lists it as uncharacterized. The transcript is spliced from 2 exons. The record is from RefSeq and is a predicted model, not a curated record. NCBI's taxonomy places the organism in Eukaryota, Viridiplantae, Streptophyta, Magnoliopsida, Poales, Poaceae.